RNAcentral lists this long non-coding RNA (815 nucleotides) under Drosophila guanche. The record is from RNAcentral. Lineage: Eukaryota; Metazoa; Arthropoda; Insecta; Diptera; Drosophilidae.
CCUGGCCACCCUGCCACGCACAGUCCAUAACUCAAAGAGGAGGGGCUCGGCACGGCACACACUCCUACCGGCCACUGGACCCGACGCCAUCGGUGCCGUAAAUAUGUCUGAUGGCUGCACUUUUUGGCAUGUCGGCGGGCCCCAUUGCAGGCACGAAGCAGAGCGGAGCGGAACGCCCAGCCUUUUCGCUAAUGAAAAUGGAUCUGUUUAUAGGGACGACGAGCCACGGCUCGGCUCAAUUGAGUGUGGCUGAAUUUAUGCCGCGGCGACAGGUGCCCCCGGUGGCUCUUCUAUUGCCGCAGCAGCAGCGGCAGCACCUCGGGGCGUGUGCGUAAGCAACUUGAUAUAUUUAUCGGCCUGGCAUUAGAGAGAGUGGGAACGGGAACGUGGCAGCCAAAAGGACUUUCGGUGUUCUCCCACUAAAUGGUGGGGUAGGCUUAGUGCGAACUCAGCUGCUGGGUUAAAAAUGAUCUGGAAAGCGAUUGAUGACUGUGCGCAAGUAGUGCCAGUCUUCAUGGAGUGUUGAUUGAGAUUAUUUUGGGUAAGACCCAACAAGCAGUACAACUGUGGAUUAUUGCACAUUCCACCGCCCAUUUCUGUCUAUAUUAUUUUAACAUAAGUAAUAAACUGCGAAGUAGAUCUUUAUAAUACUUUUUUCUUUCAAUUCUUUCAGCUUUAAGCAAAACCAACAACUAUUGGCGGCUCUUGGCACACCCUCCACCACACUCUGCCCGCCCCGCCACUGCAGAUUUACAACACCCCCCAAGUUUGUUGAUUUUUCUCUUACACCAAAAGCUGUCAGUUUUGUAUGCGCA